GUGAAUCAUCGAAUCUUUGAACGCACAUUGCGCCCGCCAGUAUUCUGGCGGGCAUGCCUGUUCGAGCGUCAUUUCAACCCUCAAGCACAGCUUGGUGUUGGGACUCGCGUUAAUUCGCGUUCCUCAAAUUGAUUGGCGGUCACGUCGAGCUUCCAUAGCGUAGUAGUAAAACCCUCGUUACUGGUAAUCGUCGCGGCCACGCCGUUAAACCCCAACUUCUGAAUGUUGACCUCGGAUCAGGUAGGAAUACCCGCUGAACUUAAGCAUAUCAAUAAGCGGAGGA
This 283-nucleotide unclassified non-coding RNA is filed under the name Fusarium sp. Its description in RNAcentral is "partial contains 5.8S ribosomal RNA, internal transcribed spacer 2, and large subunit ribosomal RNA". The stretch from base 1 to 71 matches the Rfam family "5.8S ribosomal RNA", at positions 84 to 154 of the family's 154-position model. The record is from RNAcentral. RNAcentral also lists the same sequence under 1 other name. Lineage: Eukaryota; Fungi; Ascomycota; Sordariomycetes; Hypocreales; Nectriaceae.